This 70-nucleotide transfer RNA is filed under the name Neomys fodiens (Eurasian water shrew). Its description in RNAcentral is "tRNA-Val". It matches the Rfam family "tRNA". Rfam says of the family: Transfer RNA (tRNA) molecules are approximately 80 nucleotides in length. Their secondary structure includes four short double-helical elements and three loops (D, anti-codon, and T loops). The record is from RNAcentral. Lineage: Eukaryota; Metazoa; Chordata; Mammalia; Eulipotyphla; Soricidae.
UCAAAGUGUAGCUUAACAAAAGCAUCUGAUUUACACCCAGAAGAUUUCAUCAUACAUGACCACUUUGAAC